UGGGGAAUUUUGGACAAUGGGCGCAAGCCUGAUCCAGCCAUGCCGCGUGAGUGAAGAAGGCCUUCGGGUUGUAAAGCUCUUUCGGCGGGGACGAAAUGGUACGUGCUAAUACCACGGAUCGAUGACGGUACCCGAAGAAGAAGCACCGGCUAACUACGUGCCAGCAGCCGCGGUAAUACGUAGGGUGCAGGCGUUAAUCGGAAUUACUGGGCGUAAAGCGUGCGCAGGCGGUUUGCUAAGACAGGUGUGAAAUCCCCGGGCUUAACCUGGGAACUGCGCUUGUUACUGGCAGGCUAGAGUGUGGCAGAGGGGGGUAGAAUUCCAGGUGUAGCAGUGAAAUGCGUAGAUAUCUGGAGGAAUACCGAUGGCGAAGGCAGCCCCCUGGGUUAACACUGACGCUCAUGCACGAAAGCGUGGGGAGCAAACAGGAUUAGAUACCCGCGUAGUCC
Molecule: ribosomal RNA, 449 nt
Filed under: uncultured bacterium
Lineage: Bacteria
Description: bacterial SSU rRNA
Rfam family: Bacterial small subunit ribosomal RNA
Source: RNAcentral